RNAcentral lists this transfer RNA (75 nucleotides) under Scytolyngbya sp. HA4215-MV1. Its description in RNAcentral is "tRNA-Arg". It matches the Rfam family "tRNA". Rfam says of the family: Transfer RNA (tRNA) molecules are approximately 80 nucleotides in length. Their secondary structure includes four short double-helical elements and three loops (D, anti-codon, and T loops). Further hydrogen bonds mediate the characteristic L-shaped molecular structure. tRNAs have two regions of fundamental functional importance: the anti-codon, which is responsible for specific mRNA codon recognition, and the 3' end, to which the tRNAs corresponding amino acid is attached (by aminoacyl-tRNA synthetases). tRNAs cope with the degeneracy of the genetic code in two manners: having more than one tRNA (with a specific anti-codon) for a particular amino acid; and 'wobble' base-pairing, i.e. permitting non-standard base-pairing at the 3rd anti-codon position. RNAcentral also lists the same sequence under 4 other names. Lineage: Bacteria; Bacillati; Cyanobacteriota; Cyanophyceae; Leptolyngbyales; Leptolyngbyaceae. The record is from RNAcentral.
GAGGACGUGGUGUAACUGGAUGAACAUCUCAGAUUACGAACCUGAAGAGUGGGGGUUCAAGUCCCUCCGUCCUCG